AAAAUAAGUUAGUUGUUUAGAUGAGAACUUGAUUUAAAUGAAAAAAAUAAGUUAAUCGUUUGGAAGGGAAGUGGUUUGAAAGAAAAAUAAGUUAGCUAUUUGGAUGUGGACUUUAUUUAAACAAAAAAAAUAAGUCAUUUGUCUAGAUAGAGACUUGAUUUAAGGGAAAAAAAAAAAUCAGUUGUUUGAACAAGAACUUAAU
This 202-nucleotide long non-coding RNA is filed under the name Populus trichocarpa (black cottonwood). RNAcentral describes it as "long non-coding RNA (PTRI_LNC001539)". Lineage: Eukaryota; Viridiplantae; Streptophyta; Magnoliopsida; Malpighiales; Salicaceae. The record is from RNAcentral.